This 200-nucleotide ribosomal RNA is filed under the name uncultured Glomus. Its description in RNAcentral is "partial small subunit ribosomal RNA". It matches the Rfam family "Eukaryotic small subunit ribosomal RNA", at positions 591 to 796 of the family's 1831-position model. Lineage: Eukaryota; Fungi; Glomeromycota; Glomeromycetes; Glomerales; Glomeraceae. The record is from RNAcentral.
CCAAUAGCGUAUAUUAAAGUUGUUGCAGUUAAAAAUCUCGUAGUUGAAUUUCGGGAUCAGUACGCUGGUCAUGCCUUUGGUAUGUACUGGUGUCACUGGUUUCUCCCUUCUGAAGAACCGUGAUGUCAUUAAUUUGGUGUCGCGGGGAAUCAGGACUGUUACUUUGAAAAAAUUAGAGUGUUUAAAGCAGGCUCACGCUU